Molecule: ribosomal RNA, 479 nt
Filed under: uncultured bacterium
Lineage: Bacteria
Also listed under: 2 other names
Description: bacterial SSU rRNA
Rfam family: Bacterial small subunit ribosomal RNA
Source: RNAcentral
UUUCGCAAUGCCCGAAAGGGUGACGAAGCGACGCCGCGUGCGGGAAGAAGGCCUUCGGGUUGUAAACCGCUGUCGGGAGUUAAGAAAUGUAAGGAUGUUAAUAGCAUCUUUGCUUGACUAAGGCUCCGGAGGAAGCCACGGCUAACUCUGUGCCAGCAGCCGCGGUAAUACAGAGGCGGCAAGCGUUGUUCGGAAUUAUUGGGCGUAAAGGGCACGUAGGCGGCUAUGUAAGUCGGUUGUGAAAGCCUUCCGCUCAACGGGAGAACAGCAUCCGAUACUGCAUGGCUUGAGUGCGGGAGGGGAGAGUGGAACUUCUGGUGGAGCGGUGAAAUGCGUAGAUAUCAGAAGGAACGCCGGCGGCGAAAGCGGCUCUCUGGCCCAUAACUGACGCUGAGUGUGCGAAAGCUAGGGGAGCAAACGGGAUUAGAUACCCCGGUAGUCCUAGCCGUAAACGAUGGGCACUAAGUAGAGGGGUUUUA